RNAcentral lists this ribosomal RNA (590 nucleotides) under Candidatus Brocadia sp. TKU-4. Its description in RNAcentral is "bacterial SSU rRNA". It matches the Rfam family "Bacterial small subunit ribosomal RNA", at positions 338 to 918 of the family's 1533-position model. Lineage: Bacteria; Pseudomonadati; Planctomycetota; Candidatus Brocadiia; Candidatus Brocadiales; Candidatus Brocadiaceae. The record is from RNAcentral.
CCUACGGGAGGCUGCAGUCGAGAAUCUUUCGCAAUGCCCGAAAGGGUGACGAAGCGACGCCGCGUGCGGGAGGAAGGCCUUCGGGUUGUAAACCGCUGUCGGGAGUUAAGAAAUGCAAGGAUGUUAAUAGCGUUCUUGCUUGACUAAGGCUCCGGAGGAAGCCACGGCUAACUCUGGGCCAGCAGCCGCGGUAAUACAGAGGCGGCAAGCGUUGUUCGGAAUUAUUGGGCGUAAAGAGCACGUAGGCGGCUGUGUAAGUCGGUUGUGAAAGCCUUCCGCUCAACGGAAGAACGGCAUCCGAUACUGCAUAGCUUGAGUGUGGGAGGGGAGAGUGGAACUUCUGGUGGAGCGGUGAAAUGCGUAGAUAUCAGAAGGAACACCGGCGGCGAAGGCGACUCUCUGGUCCAUAACUGACGCUGAGUGUGCGAAAGCUAGGGGAGCAAACGGGAUUAGAUACCCCGGUAGUCCUAGCCGUAAACGAUGGGCACUAAGUAGAGGGGUUUUGAUUAUCUCUCUGCCGGAGCUAACGCAUUAAGUGCCCCGCCUGGGGAGUACGGCCGCAAGGCUAAAACUCAAAAGAAUUGACGGGG